Myotis myotis is the source of this 2563-nucleotide long non-coding RNA. RefSeq lists it as uncharacterized. NCBI's taxonomy places the organism in Eukaryota, Metazoa, Chordata, Mammalia, Chiroptera, Vespertilionidae. The record is from RefSeq and is a predicted model, not a curated record. The transcript is spliced from 5 exons.
UGAAAGUAAAGCGGCUUGGCGUUCCCGGAUUCCACCUUCGGCAACUGGUCGCUGAUGAUCUCCACCAGCAUCGCGGGGAACUCCACCUUCAGGGCCUGGGACUCUCGGAAGCUGUGCAGUGUGAGGGCAUCUACUGCAUCUCCAUGCAGCCGUCCACUGUCAUCCAUGCUCCACUGCAGUAAAAGCAUCAAGGACAACUCUGAGUCCCCUCGCCCAUCCAGCCUUUCCCUCCUCUGUCACCCAAGGACCUUCUCAGCCUCCUGGAUCUGAACCACUGUUGUGAGGUAUCACCCUGGAGCAAUGAGUGGCGCAUGCAGAGGAACACAGCAGGUGGGCCCCUGCCCAGAGGAGCCAGAAAACCAAACAGGUUUCCCAGGCUCUUCCUUUCACGGAACCCCACUCCCUGCAGUCACCUCCCACCCCCGGAGACCUGGAACCUUGGCCUGAGGACCCUUGCUCUCCUCUGAACUCACAGAUGCCAUGUUUUGUCUUUGUGAUUUCCUUGACAUUAGAGCCAGGUGACACCCCUCCUCUUCUAUCCUGUGGUUUCCACCUCCUACUGGUGUAACUUUGCACAUUUGCAGCUCCUCAAGUGGCCUGCAAGCUCCUUGAAGACAGGAAGUACUGAUGCAGCCACAUAGCACCCGGGAGAGGCCCUCCUGCUAGCUCUGACUCCUGCCUUUCUCUGACUAUCCUUCUUGCAGAAGCACACUACACCAAGCAACGUAAAAAUCUAAACCAAUUCAUGUUCCUAAGUUACCAACUCUAAUAUCAGGUUUAAUCAAGAUUGAGCAGUUAAAUCCUUAUGUCAGUCUCAAACAGAAGAGGAACACGCAGCAACCAGGGGAAGCCACAGUGGCCAAGGGCAGCCUCUGCAGAUCCAAGGCCCUGACACCAAGGUGAUCUAGUUCACUCCUGUGAUUCAGUGAUGCCAUUGAAUGAAUCCGUUGGCAAUCUAUGGCCUGCAGGCCAAAUCUGGCCCAAGGAACGUUUUUGUGCACUUUUAAUUGGUUGAGGAAAAAAAAUCAAAAGCAUAUUUUGUGACGUGGAAAUUGUAUGAAAUAGUUUUACUGGGACGCAGCCAUGCUCAUUCAUUUAGCUAUUAUCGGCGGCUGCUUUCAGACUACAAGGGCAGAGCCACGUUGUUGUGACAAGGAUCACAGGACCCACAAAACCUACAGUACUUUCAACGUGGCCUUUUAGGGAAAAACAUCUGCUGGCUCCUGGAUUGGAAGGCAUGCCAUGGAUUUAAUGAGGUUUUGGUUGUUUAUUAAAAUAUAUAAAUCAAGUGUACGAUGUCUCCUGAUUUAAGUCUGUGAAUCAGGACAUACGGCACCAGCUAGAUUUGGCUUUCCAAAUAUUAUCCAUUUUUCUGAGCCUUUAGGAAAUGCUUUCGGGAGAACCCUUGUAUAGGGGCUGAGCUAGAUAAGAGGUUAUCUAGCUUACAGGCUCUAGAAUCUGUCAUUCAAAGGGAGAGUUUCCAUCACUUACGCCUCCCAUUUCUGACUGUGCCCUCAGGAGCCAUUUCCCUUUGAUCCUAUAGCCCCUGCAGAUCAUACCCAUUUACAGCUGACUCUCAUUGUCCAUAAAGUCAUUGGGAACAGUGAAUUCCAAACACUGAACCUUCACUCCUAGGGAAAAUAUGGAGCUAGGUUUCCAUGAGCUACUGAUCAAGACAUUUUCAUAAAACGAUUUCUACUUAACCUUGUUUUAUGUGUAUUUCUGUUUAAAGACUCCUUAUUUAAUGUACACUGCUGACUCCUUAACAUUGAACUCACAUUCAACAGCACUAUACCGCAUGCCUGAACAAAGCUUACUGAACACUCAUUUUCUCCAUGAAGCACAUCACAGCCUCCUGCCCUUAAGAACACAAGACAGUGUAUGAGCACUACAUUUGGGGACAAUUUUCAACAGCAACAUCACUAACAAAAAUGCAAGAAAUGUGUUACCAAGUAGAUCAUGAAAAGCACACUUAUUUCAGUAUGAGCUGAAACAAGAAGGGAGAAUGUCACCUUGCUUGACCUUCAUGGGGAACAUGACUCAAUUUAUUACUCUGCUCAUGCCUGUGAAAGUGCUGAGAGUAUUGAUUUGGGGGGUGCGGGUUACAAGUAUUUUAAAUGUUUUUGUUAGUCCUCACCUGAGGAUUUUUUCCCAUUGUUUUUUGGGAGAGAGUGGAAGGGAGGGGGAGAGAGAGAGACACAUCGAUUGGACUGGUAGCCUCCCGCAUGUACAGGUGCCUGGGAUCGAGCCUGCAAGUACAUGCCCUUGACUGGGAAUUGAACCCGUGACCCUCCUGUGUGUGUUGGCUCAUGCUCUAACUCUUGAGCAACACCGGCCAGGGCUGGAGGUACAAUUUUAACUAGUAGGCAAACUCAAAAAUACAGAAUCUGCAAAUAAUGAUCGACUGUGUGUGAAGCUAUAUACACUUUCUACUCUCUUUAGCCAUGACCUUGAUCAACUGGCAUCUUCAAUGUCAGUCAUUUCAUAGGAUCUGCCCUAGUCCAAAAUGGCACUGAUAAUAACGUUCCUCUUUUCUGUUGCUUAACAAUGUCUGUGUCCCUUA